CUACCUGCAGCCUCGGCUAUGCCUGACGAAGUGGCACUUCAAGAUGCUACGUCAUCUCCGGCAGUCGUCUGUGCGGGCUUUCGAAGGGCGCGAGACGAUGGUAUAUUCAGCCGCACCGAAGACCACACGACGUGUAGGACUGGCUGUCCUACUACGAACGAGUGCCCAAAACCAUCAAGUUAUGAUGAAUGGGGGCCACAUCAUGACGAUCCACAACUGUGGCAGAAGUGGCCAUACUGUUGCUAACGCAAUAAAAUGUUAUAUGAACUCCA
This is a long non-coding RNA of Dermacentor andersoni, 272 nucleotides long. RefSeq lists it as uncharacterized. The record is from RefSeq and is a predicted model, not a curated record. NCBI's taxonomy places the organism in Eukaryota, Metazoa, Arthropoda, Arachnida, Ixodida, Ixodidae.